This 479-nucleotide ribosomal RNA is filed under the name uncultured bacterium. Its description in RNAcentral is "partial 16S ribosomal RNA". It matches the Rfam family "Bacterial small subunit ribosomal RNA", at positions 28 to 506 of the family's 1533-position model. The record is from RNAcentral.
GAUGAACGCUAGCGGCAGGCCUAACACAUGCAAGUCGAGGGGGAGGUUACUUUCGGGUAACUGAGACCGGCGUACGGGUGCGUAACGCGUAUACAAUCUGCCUUUCACUGGGGGAUAGCCCGAAGAAAUUUGGAUUAAUACCCCAUAGUAUAGUAAUACGGCAUCGUGAUGCUAUUAAAGCUUAGGUGGUGAAAGAUGAGUAUGCGUUCUAUUAGCUAGUUGGAGAGGUAACGGCUCCCCAAGGCGAUGAUAGAUAGGGGUUCUGAGAGGGAUGUCCCCCACACUGGUACUGAGAUACGGACCAGACUCCUACGGGAGGCAGCAGUGAGGAAUAUUGGACAAUGGUCGGAAGACUGAUCCAGCCAUGCCGCGUGCAGGAUGAAGGUCUUAUGGAUUGUAAACUGCUUUUGUAAGGGAAGAAUAAGGGCUACGCGUAGUUUGAUGACGGUACCUUACGAAUAAGCAUCGGCUAACUCCGU